RNAcentral lists this long non-coding RNA (2278 nucleotides) under Gossypium barbadense (sea-island cotton). Its description in RNAcentral is "long non-coding RNA (GBAR_LNC002374)". Lineage: Eukaryota; Viridiplantae; Streptophyta; Magnoliopsida; Malvales; Malvaceae. The record is from RNAcentral.
GGACUUAGCUUCAACUUUUUCAUUUUCUUCCUUCUUUUUUAACCGAAAAUGGCAGCAAAGAAAGGGUUUAGAAGUUGGAAACUUUCAGCAAAGAAACUCCCUUUUAUAGUAAGUGAUUUUAAUGCUUUUUCUUGAAGAUUUUUACAUUUUUGUAACCCCAAAAGCAUGAGUUUUCAAAUGAGGGGUCUAAUUUGCAAAAUGAUAAAGAGUAUAGGGUUUUGACAUGAAAGCAUAUGUGUUGUUUGCUGAGUUUUUAUGGAAGAAAAUAAGUUUUGGUAGUAUUAUAAACACUUUUUGUGAAGGAAGAUUGCAUGAAAACUCUUAAAAAGGGGAUAUUUUGCAAAGUAGUAUAAUAAGUGUAAGUGUAUGAAAUAGUUGAUAUUGUGAGUUACUACAGUUAUGAAAAUGGUUCAUCUAGUCUUAAAGAGUAAAGAAAUUGAAUAAAAAUCAUUUUUCGAGCUUAGGGGUAAUUUGGCAAUUUUGGCAUAAUAUAGGGGCAAAAUUGUAAAAACUGCCCAAGUGUGUCAAUGGAAUAAUUUGAUUAGUACAUUAUUUUAAUAAGUUGAAUGUGAUGUUAUAGAUGAUGAAAAUUGAGAUUUGGACUUAGAACGGAAAGAAAUCGAUUAAGGGAUGAUUACGUCUUUUUCACCUUUGUUGUAUCUAGGUAAGUUCGUAUGUAAACAAUACCAUGAUAUACAUGUAUUUAAAUGUUAUCAUCACAUGAAUUGUACGAAUAUUAAUGUGUAUGUGAUUAAUAUAAAUAUGAUAAGACAAAGCCUUGAUAGGCGAGGAAAAAUCUCGUUUGAACCUUAGGAAUAAAAUAGGAUAUGAGUGACAUGUCACUAGGAAUUAUGAGUCUAGAUGACUAGCUCGAGAGAGAGCAUUUAAAUUUCAUGAGAUAUGAGGUAGCUUUAGCUACAACUGACGUAAAACCGAGUAUCUAAUUAGUAUUCCAAGUGUUCAACGGGUAAUCCGAAGAAAGAGUUGAUGAUGGUCCCAAUGAGGUAAGUCAUUGGUGAGUAUGCACUUGAGUUAUGUUACGAGUUGUGCAGGUAUGUACACUAAGCCAAUGAGAAUGCCUUGGUAUGUGAAUGAUCUAUGAUGCAUAAAUAUGUGUUCUUACCGUGAUGGAUAAAAUGAUGUUGUAUUAAUUUUGUGAACACUGAUCAUGAAUAACUUAGCCUUGACAGAUUUGAGUUACUGUAGUAGUGUAACUUUGAAAAUACACUAAAAAUAUUGAAAAGUGAGUUAAAAGCUGAAUAAAAUAUGGAAAUAAAGCUUAUUUAGUCUAGUUUCUUAUAAAAGAAUCCGUGUAAGCAAAAGAAUUUCCUAUAAUGAGAUAUUUGAAGUUACGUGGGUAGAGUCAGAAUGACUUCGAGAUCCCCUGUUCUGAUUUGAGAAGAUCAUUAUAAAUUGUAAAAAAAAUGGUUAUGAGUUAUGAUUUAUAUGCUUAGAAUCUUUGAUGAGUCUUGUUUCAAGAGAAAUAGACGAGAACAUUAUUCGAGUCCUGUGCUUUGAGAUAAUUGAACUUUAGCUCAGAAGGGUUGGAACUGUCAGACAGUGAAUCAGGGGUAAUUUUGAGGAAUAAAUUGUACUAAUUGGCUAAACCAAAAAUUCUGAAAAUUUUAUGGUAGAAAGGUACAUGAGUCUGGUUUCAACGAAAAUUAAUAGAACCUAAUUUUGAGUUUCGUAGCUCCAUAUAUAAAUAAUUUAGUUAUUGUUGCUUAGGAAGAUAGCUUGUCGUGAACUUGAGAAUAUGUUGUAAACAUUGAUAAAACAUGUUAAUGAGUUGCUUAUUGUUUUCAUAUGAACUUACUAAGCGUAAAGCUUACCCCCCCUUUCUUUCCCAUGUUCCCUAAGGUUUCCAGGUUAGCUCGGGUUGGAGGCCGUCAGAGAUAUUAUCACACUGUCGAGUUAACGCUAUCGGUGUAAGUAAAUCCUAGUGUUUCGAGUCUAUGGCAUGUAUAGGGUUUUAAUGUUGAGUAUGUGAUAUUAUGAUUCAGCCAAAUGCAUUGGCUUGUUAUUAAGGUAGUAUGUAGUAAUGUAAAUUGGCCUAUGUCGGCUAAUGACGUUAUGGGCCUAUAUGAUUAUUCUUACGCAUGUAUGUUAUUAUCUCUUGUGAUGUGGCUUACAACAUGUAUGCCUAGAGAUUGAAUUAAGAUUCAUUGAGGAGUUAGUAACUGAUGCAAGAUUAAGUGAUUGGUAAAUAGUUAAUAAUGACUCAUGAAUGGUUUGUGAAUAUGAUUAUGCAUGCCUAGUGAUGGACGUGAGGUUUGUG